This 466-nucleotide ribosomal RNA is filed under the name uncultured bacterium. RNAcentral describes it as "partial 16S ribosomal RNA". It matches the Rfam family "Bacterial small subunit ribosomal RNA", at positions 28 to 507 of the family's 1533-position model. The record is from RNAcentral.
GAUGAACGCUGGCGGCGUGCUUAACACAUGCAAGUCGAACGAUGAAGCCCAGCUUGCUGGGUGGAUUAGUGGCGAACGGGUGAGUAACACGUGAGUAACCUGCCCUUGACUCUGGGAUAAGCCUGGGAAACUGGGUCUAAUACUGGAUAUGACUUCUCAUCGCAUGGUGGGGGGUGGAAAGAUUUAUUGGUCUUGGAUGGACUCGCGGCCUAUCAGCUUGUUGGUGAGGUAAUGGCUCACCAAGGCGACGACGGGUAGCCGGCCUGAGAGGGUGACCGGCCACACUGGGACUGAGACACGGCCCAGACUCCUACGGGAGGCAGCAGUGGGGAAUAUUGCACAAUGGGCGCAAGCCUGAUGCAGCGACGCCGCGUGAGGGAUGACGGCCUUCGGGUUGUAAACCUCUUGCAGUAGGGAAGAAGCGAGAGUGACGGUACCUGCAGAAGAAGCGCCGGCUAACUACGUG